GUCAAUCAGUGGGGUCAGUCAGUGGGGUCAGUGGGAUCUAUGGGGUCAGUGGGGUGUAUGGGGUCAGUCAGUGGGGUCAGUGGGAUCUGUGGGGUCAGUGGGGCAAUCAGUGGGGUCAGUGGGAUCUAUGGGUGGGGUGUAUGGGGUCAGUGGGGUCGAUGGGGUCAGUCAAUGGGGUCAGUGGGGUGUAUGGGGUCAGUCAGUGGGGUCAGUGGGAUCUAUGGGGUCAGUGGGUUUUAUGGGUGGGAUCUAUGGGGUCAGUGGGAUCUAUGGGGUCAGUCAAUGGGGUCAGUGGGGUGUAUGGGGUCAAUCAGUGGGGUCAGUGGGAUCUAUGGGGUCAGUGGGGCAAUCAGUGGGGUCAGUGGGGUGUAUGGGGUCAGUCAGUGGGGUCAGUGGGGCAAUCAGUGGGGUGUAUGGGGUCAGUGGGGUCUAUGGGGCCAAUCAAUGGGGUCAGUGGGUUUUAUGGGGUCAAUCAGUGGGGUCAGUGGGAUCUAUGGGGUCAGUCAGUGGGGUCAGUGGGAUCUAUGGGGUGAGUGGGUGGGGUCAGUGGGGUGUACGGGGUCAAUCAAUGGGGUCAGUCAGUGCGGUCAGUGUGAUCUAUGGGGU
RNAcentral lists this long non-coding RNA (606 nucleotides) under Gallus gallus (chicken). RNAcentral's name for it is "lncRNA (ENSGALG00010000424.1)". Lineage: Eukaryota; Metazoa; Chordata; Aves; Galliformes; Phasianidae. The record is from RNAcentral.